RNAcentral lists this long non-coding RNA (964 nucleotides) under Gossypium raimondii (Peruvian cotton). RNAcentral describes it as "long non-coding RNA (GRAI_LNC008739)". The record is from RNAcentral. Lineage: Eukaryota; Viridiplantae; Streptophyta; Magnoliopsida; Malvales; Malvaceae.
UAUGCAAGCAAAAGUCCCUGUUAAAAAUAUCAUAUACCACAGUCCAUACUUAAAUAAAAAUUACAAUCCCAAAUAAAAUUACUAAAAUAAAUAGAGUAAUUAAAAUAAACUUUGUUGCCACUAACCCGAAAUAAUAUCUCUGUAUGUAGAAUCUAAGCCUAUUCUUGAAGGUUAUCCGUAAGUAGUAAACUAGGGGGUGAGCUUAAAAAGCCCAAUGUGAAUCUAAAAAAUAUAAGCAUUUAAUAAAUCAAAUAGACAUACAAUUAUUAAAUAGUUCAACCAAUUUGUCACGACACAACUACAUAUGAAUAUGGCAUGCUAAAUGAUUCAAUCCAAUAAUCCUACUCAUUCAUCUGCUACACACCAUGAGUUCCCCAAAACUCGUCAUCUGAAUUCCAAAUAGUAAGGGCUUAAUCCCGUUGUGGUUAAAACCACCAAUAACAGUAUGCUGAUAAAACUGCAGGUAAAAAUGCCAUAAAUCACCCAAUCUCUUCAAAUCUCCGGUGCAGUGCACUAACAAUAGUAUUGAGGACUUCAAAUGUCGUUAGAUCUCCACGGAACUCCUCUGUCAACCACAAAUAUCCACCCCAUGCAGAUGUGUUAUGACAUACAAUCGAUAAGCAAAUCAUGCUGAUGCGGAACCCCGGAUCUAGACACAAGAGAAACACAAAUUAGAAAUAAAAACGAGAAUAAAUAAAAGUAGUUAAAUAAUAAUAAUAAUAAAAGGAUAGAUUUGCCUUAUGGAACCCUUGGUUAACUUGCAACCAAAAACGCCAAUGAUUGAGCGGCUCCCUACGAAACCCCUAGAAGAAGAACCUCUAGAAACACCAAUGAACGGGAAAGAAAUUUGAAUAUUUGUAACUCCAAAAUACUCUCGAAAGUAACAAACUCCAAACUAAAUAGCAAGAGAAGAAUCACUCUACUCUCAAAAAUUUGCCUCACACAAAUUUGGAAGAAAACAAAU